UGUGUCAAUUUGCAGUCUCUGUUCCCUCAUUCGUUCCAGCAACUCAAUUGUUUUGGCUUCACUCGAGAAAGAUUCCCUACACUCCAAGAUGUACAUCUCCAUGCACGAUAUGUAUGCGUAGGCUCCACUGAAAGUAGGAUAUUAAUAUAUUUGAAUCUUCUGGAACAGUUCUUUGGCGAUCAGUCCACUGGUAUUUCAUUGCUGUUUCUGGGCCAUGCUUAGUUUAUGCUGACAUCGGGGUACAACAAAAUGACCACAGAAAUCGGUUCUUACUUGCAUCCCCUCUGCAGUUGUCGAGCUGUCCUGGCCUGGGACCACGGUGUCAUCAUGUCCAGACACCGUGCUACAAGGGGCGUGGCGAGGUGCUCAUCACACUGGCUUAAGGCCGAACCUGGUGGUAACAUACAUAAUUCACUGAUGGGUGUCAAGAGGCGGUUGGAUAGCCCAGUGGAUAGCCUAGCGUUCGCUCGCCACGCCGAAGACCCGGGUUCAAAUGCCCACAUGGACACAAUGUGUGUAGUCUAUUUCUGGUGUUCCCCGCCGUGAUAUUGCUGGAAUGUUGCUAAAAGCGGCGUGAAACCAUACUUACUCACUCACUUGUCAAAUUGAUCAUAUAUGUACGGCACUUCAGUCAAUGCAAACGAAUUUGCUUCCCUUGUCUAUAGAUGCGUAUUAGUGCCAAUUUCUUAAACAUAUCAUCUACAUACUUAUAUUAAAUAAUGCUAUUAUAAUAUACUUAGAAGGUAUCAUCUUCUUUCAAAGUAUCGACUUUUGUAACCAUAAUUUCUCGAGUAAUCAACAAUAGUUUUGUGUUCGUAGCCUGUGACUCUACAACAAUGACCGACUGGCUUAAAUUAUAAUGGCCAAUAUACCUUUACUUUCAACUUUGAUGUGUCUAUUGAGGUACUAUUAGAACAUUCAAUAACGUAACAUAUUUGA
Long non-coding RNA from Haliotis rubra (blacklip abalone), 939 nucleotides. RefSeq lists it as uncharacterized. The transcript has 3 exons. Lineage: Eukaryota; Metazoa; Mollusca; Gastropoda; Lepetellida; Haliotidae. The record is from RefSeq and is a predicted model, not a curated record.